Molecule: ribosomal RNA, 492 nt
Filed under: uncultured bacterium
Lineage: Bacteria
Description: partial 16S ribosomal RNA
Rfam family: Bacterial small subunit ribosomal RNA
Source: RNAcentral
AGUGAACGCUGGCGGUAGGCCUAACACAUGCCAGUCGAACGGCAGCACAGUAAGAGCUUGCUCUUACGGGUGGCGAGUGGCGGACGGGUGAGGAAUACAUCGGAAUCUACUUUUUCGGGGGGGAUAACGUAGGGAAACUUACGCUAAUACCGCAUACGACCUACGGGUUAAAGCAGGGGAUCUUCGGACCUUGCGCGAUUGAAUGCGCCGAUGUCGGAUUAGCUAGUUGGGGGGGUAAUGGCCCACCAAGGCGCCGAUCCGUAGCGGGUCUGAGAGGAUGAUCAGCAACACUGGAACUGAGACACGGUCCAGACUCCUACGGGAGGCAGCAGUGGGGAAUAUUGGACAAUGGGCGCAAGCCUGAUCCAGCCAUACCGCGUGGGUGAAGAAGGCCUUCGGGUUGUAAAGCCCUUUUGUUGGGAAAGAAAAGCAGCAGGUUAAUACCCCGCUGUUCUGACGGUACCCAAAGAAUAAGCACCGGCUAACUUCGUG